Molecule: ribosomal RNA, 497 nt
Filed under: uncultured bacterium
Lineage: Bacteria
Description: partial 16S ribosomal RNA
Rfam family: Bacterial small subunit ribosomal RNA
Source: RNAcentral
GAUGAACGCUGGCGGCGUGCCUAAUACAUGCAAGUCGAGCGAACAGACGAGGAGCUUGCUCCUCUGACGUUAGCGGCGGACGGGUGAGUAACACGUGGAUAACCUACCUAUAAGACUGGGAUAACUUCGGGAAACCGGAGUUAAUACCGGAUAAUAUAUUGAACCGCAUGGUUCAAUAGUGAAAGACGGUUUUGCUGUCACUUAUAGAUGGAUCCGCGCCGCAUUAGCUAGUUGGUAAGGUAACGGCUUACCAAGGCAACGAUGCGUAGCCGACCUGAGAGGGUGAUCGGCCACACUGGAACUGAGACACGGUCCAGACUCCUACGGGAGGCAGCAGUAGGGAAUCUUCCGCAAUGGGCGAAAGCCUGACGGAGCAACGCCGCGUGAGUGAUGAAGGUCUUCGGAUCGUAAAACUCUGUUAUUAGGGAAGAACAAAUGUGUAAGUAACUAUGCAUGUCUUGACGGUACCUAAUCAGAAAGCCACGGCUAACUACGUG